Molecule: ribosomal RNA, 102 nt
Filed under: uncultured bacterium
Lineage: Bacteria
Description: partial 16S ribosomal RNA
Source: RNAcentral
CAACGCCGCGUAGCUAGGAUGAAGUUUCGAUCGUAAACUGCUUUCUCGGGGACGAGCAAGGACGGUUACCCCGAGGAAGAAGCCCCGGACUAACCUACGUGC